AAAUUGAACGAAGCGUCUGAUAAAAAUAACGGAGUAUAAAUAAGAAACAUCAUGUUUAUUAAAAUCAAUUAAUCGUUAAUUGCGUUUAUAAACCCGUUUAUAUAAAUAAACAUCUUGUUUAUUAAUUUAAAUAAACCAUUAAUUAAUUAUCAAAUUCCUAGCUAAAAAAUAUAAACAUUUCUUUGAAAUUUGGCAGUAAAAACGGAGCUUAACAAUACUUUAAAUGUAAGAACCUUUUUUGACGAACUGAACGAACAAAUGAAGUGCCGCCAAAUUUUAACGAGCAACAACGAAUACAAAUCAUUUAGAAAAAGAAGCCACACGAAAAAGUGGUCUAAAGUGCAUAUAAAAAAAGUGAAGUGAUUAUUAAAAAAGUAUAUGUGCAUCAGCUAACUAAUCAGUAAUAUAUUUAUUUAUAUCCAUAAAAUGUCACACGUUUGUACGUCCGUACGUCCGUACGUUCGUGACGUUUUUCGUAGCUCAAGAAACAGAAGAGAGACUUCAAAUAAAUUUUAGAAAUGCAGAUAAUACAGCAGCAAGAUGCAGAAAGGGUUCUCAAGAAAAUUGGGUGAGUGGUGAACAUUUUCGUUACUCCUACAUAUCUCACGAACUAAUAACGCUAGAGACUUGAAAUAAAUUUUGUAUUAUACAUUUUAACAUAAUACCAAGCAAAUACAUAUAUUUUUAGAAAAAAAAUCCAAUCAACAAUCAUUUUUUUUAUUAAUCGAUGAUAUGAAAAAUGUUUUCUAUUUCUCAGAUUCUCAAGAUGCAGCCUUACUCUGGGCCCUACAUGGGUAUUUUGUGCCUUUCCAAAAAGUUGUGAGAAAACACAAAUAGGGAAAGAAACGUUCACGAGGUUUACUAUCUUGAUAAAUUGCAAUUAAAUUACUUAUUGAUAAAUGAACUAAACUACAAAAAAUAAAAAUUAUAAAAUUAAA
This is a long non-coding RNA of Eupeodes corollae, 938 nucleotides long. RefSeq lists it as uncharacterized. NCBI's taxonomy places the organism in Eukaryota, Metazoa, Arthropoda, Insecta, Diptera, Syrphidae. The transcript has 2 exons. The record is from RefSeq and is a predicted model, not a curated record.